This 483-nucleotide ribosomal RNA is filed under the name uncultured bacterium. RNAcentral describes it as "partial 16S ribosomal RNA". It matches the Rfam family "Bacterial small subunit ribosomal RNA", at positions 30 to 507 of the family's 1533-position model. The record is from RNAcentral.
UUGAACGCUGGCGGCAGGCCUAACACAUGCAAGUCGAGCGGAUGAAGGGAGCUUGCUCCUGGAUUCAGCGGCGGACGGGUGAGUAAUGCCUAGGAAUCUGCCUGGUAGUGGGGGAUAACGUCCGGAAACGGGCGCUAAUACCGCAUACGUCCUGAGGGAGAAAGUGGGGGAUCUUCGGACCUCACGCUAUCAGAUGAGCCUAGGUCGGAUUAGCUAGUUGGUGGGGUAAAGGCCUACCAAGGCGACGAUCCGUAACUGGUCUGAGAGGAUGAUCAGUCACACUGGAACUGAGACACGGUCCAGACUCCUACGGGAGGCAGCAGUGGGGAAUAUUGGACAAUGGGCGAAAGCCUGAUCCAGCUAUGCCGCGUGUGUGAAGAAGGUCUUCGGAUUGUAAAGCACUUUAAGUUGGGAGGAAGGGCAGUAAGUUAAUACCUUGCUGUUUUGACGUUACCAACAGAAUAAGCACCGGCUAACUUCGUG